GUUAUACGUGUUGUACUACCAGUGGCCAGCUUUUAUUAUUUAUGACAAUUUAAAAUUUAAAUAAUAUUCAAUCAUAUCCUCUCUUCCCCAAGUCCUUUCAGGUAUUCUCCACUCAACUUUAAGCCAAUGUUAAGUAUUUUACAAACAAAACAAACCAACAAACAAAAAAACCAACCCUAGCCACCCCCCCAAAAAAACAAAUAAAAAUCCCAGUCCAGUAUAAUGAAGUAAAACACACCCCAAAGAAAGAAAUAAACACAAAAUUGUAACCAAAUCAAAGAAUACAAAAUUGUAAAAUCACUAAGAUAAAUCAGAAAAUAAUCUAAUUUAUUAUUAAUGUAUAGAAUCUGGCUAUAGUAUUCUACAUAAACUAAAUUGAAAGCUGACAGAAUAUGGAGUCAGAUCUUUCAGAUUAUACAGUGUAGAGCUGUGAGGAAAAUCUAAGGAACGCAGAUAGGACUGCUUGCUAGAAUUUGCAUAGUAAAUGCCUCCCAAGAUCUAUGUGUUAGAGAAUUAGUCUCCAGUUUGGAGCUAUUGUAAGGUAAUGGCAGCUUUAAGGGUUGGGCCCCAUUUGAAGGUUUGAGUCUAGUAUUUAUCUCCUAGUUCCUGUGACCUGUGAAGCACUGAAAAUUAACAUUCGUGGGCUGAUAAGCUGGCAGUAGGAAAAAUUGCUUGCUUGCUGCUAAGCCUGAUGACUUGAGUUCAAUGUCCAGAACCCAGAGGAGAAAGGAGGGAGACUGAAUCUUACAAGUUGUCUCCUGAUGGCCACAGGUGCUCCAUCGCUAUGCACACUAGAACAGAGUAAAUAAAACAAACAGAUAUAAAAAGUAAACACACAAAACUGGCAUUGAGGUGUGGUAGUUUGAAUGUCAAAUGCCCCAGUGGGCUCUCCUAUUUGAAUACUUGGUCCCUAGUUAGGGGUGCUGUUUGAGGAGGUUUUGGAACUUUUAGAAAGUAGUCUUGCUGGAAAAAUUAUGUCACUAUGGCCAGCUCUGAGAAUUUAUAGCCCCCCCCCUUCCAGUUUGUUCUCUUUGCUUUCUGUUUGUCCUGGAGGAUCUGAUGUCCAGCUUCAUGAUCUGGCUGCUUGCUGACUGCCAUGUCCCCCUCAUCUUGAUGGACUCUGCCAUAAGCCAAACUUAAUUCCUCAUGUUAGAAAUUGUUUUGAGUCCUGGUAUUUUAUUACAACAACAGAAAGUAAGUGAUUCAUCAGGUUUCCUGAGAUUAACAAAUGCCUUCUCGGUAAAAUCAACAUUAUUGGUUCAUCUAUUUAUUUUGCUUUCUCCCUAAAUCAUUCUUACCUUUUGAUAUACUAUCUUGACAAAUGCAAUCAACAUGAUACAUGUUGUGUGCAAUAUUCUUACUUGCUUACAGGAUACUUUAUAUUGGUAUGCAUAGGCUAAUUGCACUGGCAGGAAAAGGUUUUAUUUUAUUUUUUUUAUCACAUUCCCCAGUAUAAUACUUACUAUGUUAUAUUUAUUUCCCUCCUACAAUUGUAUCAUUUAUUUAACUGCUAUUUUAAGUGUUUUUUCCGUCAGAAAAGAAAGGAAAUGCAUGUUCUCAAAUUUAUUUUUAAUUAUGUUUUUAUUUAUUCUUUUGAAAUCUCAUACAAUAUAUUUUUAUCCAAUUUGUUCUCCUUAUCCAAUUCCUCUAAGAUUCAUCUGACCUUUCUACCCACCUAAUUUCUCUCUCAUGCCUAAAACAAAACAAAAACAAACAAACAAACAAACAAAAGCAAAACAUCCUCUGUGGUAUCUAAUUUUCAUCCACAGAUUUAUUUUGAUACUCACAUUUCUUAAAAUGUAGUUCCUCUGGGCAUAUGUUAUAGUUGUGUAGCUUCGUCUUCAAGUGGGACUCCUAACAGCAGGAGCUGCCUCUGACUCUAUUGCUUGCUGUUGGGACCCUUUCUUCCUACUUGGAUACUUCAUCUAGCCUCAAAGGGAGAGGAUGCUCUGGCCUUACUUCAGCUUGAUAUACUAGGGCUGGUUGAUAUCCACUGGAGGCCUCCUCUUUUCUGAAGAGAAGUGGAGGACAAAUGGAUAGUCGGGGAGCAGAGGUAGUAAGGGAAAGACUGGGAGGGGAGGAGGGAGAGGAAACUGCAGUUGGGAAGUAAAGUAAAUAAAUAAUAACAAAAGAAAAAGGACAAUUAUUUUAAAAUUCAAAUACUGUAUAAUAUUUAUUUUCUAGUUAUUUUAUUUUACUUUUAGGUAAAUUAAAUUUCCUUUCAUUUUCAAAAUAAAAAAUAAUAAGCAAUUACAUAUAAACAUGGAAUAUAUUUAACUCAUUAUUCUGAAAAAUGGAGUAGAUGAGUAGCAAAAAUAUAUAUUCAACUGGACUGCAUGAAAAUUGUCCUUGAUAUUAUAAUAGUAUGAUAUGAUUUUUGUUCAAUCACAUUUCCUCUUAAAUUAAAAUUUAUACACUAUGUUCUGAUUAUGAUUUCUCCUCUCUCAUCUCCUUCAAGAUCCUCCCACCUCCCGAGUCUUCCAAUCCUAUGCCAUCUUUCUCUCUAUCUCAAUAGAAUACAAAUAGGAAAAUAAAAGAAAGAAACAAACAAACCAGAAUUG
Molecule: long non-coding RNA, 2561 nt
Filed under: Mus musculus (house mouse)
Lineage: Eukaryota; Metazoa; Chordata; Mammalia; Rodentia; Muridae
Description: long non-coding RNA chr12:36729149-36731710
Source: RNAcentral